GGCGUCGCAGGCAAUGCUAAAUGACUGUCGCUAGCCAUGGAGAUAUUGACAUGAGUCACAAAGACGCAACAUUCCAUCUUGACAAUCAGACGAUUCAGCUUGAGAGAUUUGUGAUUGAAAAUGUGAUGGGGCAAAACAAAUAAGGCUGCAGUUAAAUUUUAAUCUGACUCAAAUUUUACUUUUUAAGAAAUACACUUGUUUUUGUUGUUUAAUCUUUUAAGUAUUGAGUUGUUUCCUAACACACUAACUUAUGAUGACAAGAAAUGUAUUUAUUUGAUUUCAGAUUC
Long non-coding RNA from Homalodisca vitripennis (glassy-winged sharpshooter), 287 nucleotides. RefSeq lists it as uncharacterized. NCBI's taxonomy places the organism in Eukaryota, Metazoa, Arthropoda, Insecta, Hemiptera, Cicadellidae. The transcript has 2 exons. The record is from RefSeq and is a predicted model, not a curated record.